AGCAGCCGCGGUAAUUCCAGCUCCAAUAGCGUAUAUUAAAGUUGUUGCAGUUAAAAAGCUCGUAGUUGAAUUUCAGGAUUUUACCGUUGGUCGGGCUAUCCGGUCUGUACUAGCGUGUAGAAUUUUUACCUUCUGGGGAACCAUCAUGUUAUUAAUUUAGCGUGGUGGGAAACCAGGACCUUUACCUUGAAAAAAUUAGAGUGUUCAAAGCAGGCUUACGUCUGAAUACAUUAGCAUGGAAUAAUAGAAUAGGACGGUGGUCCUGUUUUGUUGGUUUCUGAAUCACCGUAAUGAUUAAUAGGGAUAGUUGGGGGCAUUAGUAUUCAAUUGUCAGAGGUGAAAUUCUUGGAUUUAUUGAAGACUAACUUCUGCGAAAGCAUUUGCCAAGGAUGCUUUCAUUAAUCAAGAACGAAAGUUAGGGGAUCGAAGACGAUCAGAUACCGUCGUAGU
This 450-nucleotide ribosomal RNA is filed under the name uncultured Glomeromycotina. RNAcentral describes it as "SSU rRNA". It matches the Rfam family "Eukaryotic small subunit ribosomal RNA", at positions 569 to 1024 of the family's 1831-position model. The record is from RNAcentral. Lineage: Eukaryota; Fungi; Glomeromycota.